GGUAAUAAUCAACAAGUAAUCAGAUACGAAACGCCAAGCAGAAGGGAAAACAAAGGGAAGCCAUUCAGCAUUGCAGAGGAUAAAACCUGUCCUCAGCCCAGCGGGUGAUUGUGGGGAACACAACAGGAGGAGAUAAGAGGGUUUUCUAUGAGAGCUCCUAAGCUAGCUGAGCUUGUUGAUAAUAGUUCUAAUGGCCUGCAAAUCCUCAUUCAGGUUGUAGUCUAUGUUUAUUCAUCUGAUAACAAGUUUUCAAAUGCGAAGUCUUGGAAAUCUAUUGCGGAUGGGUCCUUUGGCUGCUUCCAGAGUUUUGCUAAUGGGGACAGUGCUGCUGAGAACACUCUUGGACAACUUCCCACUGCUCUAAGGGCUGCUACUUUCUAGCUGGUGUUUGCAAGACAAGAAAAUCUUUUGGAAGAGGAAGACUUACCCACUGGUUCUUUUGCUUAUUCAAGGCUUGGAUUCAAUCCAGAGUGAUUGACAACAUUGAAAAUGCUGUUGCCUCAUUUAUGAUUAUGGAUGAUGAUCCAAUGUCCUCCAUCCAUGUCCAAAUUCUGGGACGCCAAGAAGAGAAGACUGCCUACGAAUUCCUUGAUUAUGAAAAGGAUGUACGCUGGGAAUUCAACUCACUCCUUCACCAGCUCCUGUGACCUCUCUUUCCCACAAUCAUACAGGAAGAGUGACUGCCAUCUCUCUCUCGGGUAACUCUGCCUUGAGUAAGUAAGCACUGAAAAAACUGUUUAUUUUAUUUUGAGAGAUAUAUUUGCAAUUCUUUAUGUAUCUUUAACAAAUCAUUUUAUUGUUUAUUUACAUUACAGACUAUGGUUCCUUUCCAUGUAGUAGCAAAGUGUAAUUCUUUCAGUAUUCACAAACAUACUAAUGAGUUCAUUAAGAGUCAAAUAAUUAGGAAUUGGUGUUUUAAAUGCCUUAUAUCAUGAAGAAAUCCACAGUGGGCUGUUUUAUAGGUGAUUAAGGAAUAUAGAUGAUAUAGGGAACAGAUUAUUAUUUUUCCCUUUAAUGUAAUAGAAUAUGGGCUUCUGCUAUGCAAAAAUUCACUGUCCAGUGGCAUUUCAGGAAAAGACUAGACUUAAAUAACAAGAGCCCCCUAUAUCUAUUAUUUUUUUCAGCUUUAUUGAGACACAAUUGAUAUAUAACACUGUGUAAGCUUAAGGUGUACAAAUGUUGGUUUGAUACACUUACGUAUUGCAAAAUGAUCACCACCAUAGCGUUAGCUAACACCUCCGUCCCCCUGAGUGACUUUUUAAAAUGACCGACACUCUUCAGGCCCUGGGGGUUCAACAGUAAACACACGGUCUUUGUCUUUAUAGAGCUUACCUUUGGUAGAGGGAGAAGUACACUAAAAUAACAAAUAACAUAAAAUAUGUCAGGCAGAGACGUGUGCUGAAGAGGAAAAUGAGCCAAGCUAGGGAGAUACAGAGAGAAGAGAGAGGUGCUAUUAAUGUAGUCAGAGUCUUUUGGGUACAGUGCAGAAACCCACUGAAGUGUUCAAACAAGGCAUUUGGAUGUCCAAGGAAAGGGCAGCCCAGGCAAGGCUGACACAGGAGGAUGCCCGGUGUGCUUGGGGAAGAGUGAAGGGGCCAGCAUGGCUGGGGAGGAGGAAGCCACGGAGAGACGGGAGGAGGGGAGCUCAGAGAGGUUGGGGGUGGGGAGAUCUCGGAGGACCUUGGAGGCCAGAGUAAGGACUUUGGAUUUUAUCCAGAGAGAGAUGGGAAGCCACUGAAAGUUUUGAACAGAGGAUUGCCAUAACAUAGCUUAGAUUUGCAAAGAAUCAUUCUGGCGAUGGUAUAGAGAAAAUACUGUGUGUGUGCAUGCAUGCAUGUGUGCAUGUGUGCGUGUGUGUGUGUGCGCGCACACGUGAUGGGGAACUGAAGGGUAGAAAUGGGGAGGUCAGUAUGAAGACUGACGCAAUGGUCCAGACAACACAAGUUAGAGGCUUAGACUAGGAUGGUUGCACUAGGAGUGGUAAGAAACAGUGGGUUCUGAAUAUAUUGUGAUAGCAAAGCUGACAUGAUGAAUUGGAGGUGACAGAAACUUGAAGGUUUUUGGCUUGGGUAUGAGGAAGAAGGGAGUUGCCAUCCACCAAGCUGGGGAAGAUUGAGAGAGAAGUAGGUGUGGAUGGGGUGGAGCGGGGGAGUCAGAGUUUAGUUGCUGAUCUGUUAAAUUGGAGAUGCCUCUAGGACAUCCGAAGUGGAAACGUGGUGGUUGAUUAGCUGUCUUCCUGUGCCUGGUACUUCAUCAGUAGACUGGAGCUGUUCACAAUACCUACCUACCCCACUAAAAGACUAAAAGGACUAAAAGAGUUACCAGGUUAAACUACUUUGCAGAGCUCAUGGUAACCACUCACCUGUUAUUGUCAUGAAUAUCUUUGAUUAAGUCACAUUUUCUGAGAAUAUUCAUACAAAAAGGAAGUACGACGUCCCUGAGUGUGAUCGAGCCCAUCCCUAGAGUCAUGGCUUAGAGCCAGAAUGAACUUCAAUCUCCGCUAAUUUGAACCCUCAUUUUAUGGAUGAGGAGAUGGAUGGAGGGCCAGGGAGGCUCGUCGUGAGUCUAGAAUCCGGGUUCUCCAGCCCAGGGCUGCUACCCCGGGAGCCUGUAAUCUUUCCAUUACCCGGUACUUCCCAUGAAACAUUACAUUUUUCCCCCCUGGGGUCUCAAUUUUGAAGGGUGUUUGCUAAAAAUCUGAGAUGAUUCGACAUUUAGUGAGGCUUGUCACAGGUUUAAUCUUCAGAGAGCAGGGAGGCAGUUGAGCCCGGAGAGGAGGUGCCCUGAGUGAGGCUCACAUCCAGCCUCUUUAGAAGAGUGAGAUGUGGGGAAAGUAACACCCAGGUGACCAGGCCUGAGGAGCACGGCCCGGCUUGCCCGGGGGAGGUGAUCCAAGCUGCGAGGUUCUUUUCCUUUGUGGAAAUAUCACAUGAUCAAGCUUCCUCAGUCACACGGCCGUUCAGCCAGAUGGAGUGGAGGACGGGAUAGAUGAAACCACUGCAAAGUUAAUGCCCUUGUAAACGUGGAUAUUUCUAGGACUCUGUAUUUUAUUGUCAUCUAAGAGGUUCCUUUUCUACCUGUACCUCACAUCUCUCCUUGCCCUCUACCCUCCAAUUUCCGGGUUAAUGCUGCUCAGAAAUCACACAUGUCCCGUCUUUUCCAUUUGUCUUGGGAUGCUGAUUAGUACGUAAUCUAUUCUUGAGCCCUUUUGAGAGUCUGAAGUUUCUGCAGAAGUGCUUUGUGGCAGGCCUGGAACUGAGUCCAUCGGAUACCUUUCCACUGAGGCCCACCGUUGCUGUGAGGGCUGGAGAGUCGAGGACUGUUAUCUUCCCAGGGCUUUCUUACUCUGCCCAAAGCAAAGGAAGUCACCAACAUCUCCCCUUGCCCUUGGGAAUAUGCACUCAGCUGAUGACGCUGAUGAUCCAGCAGGCUCUCCCGCAUGCUCAGCUUUGCGGUUUAGCAGAGCACGUUGCGGGUGAGGGGAGGCAGCUGAGCCUAGGCAGCGAGACUUAGUCGGUGCAGGUAGAGUGUGAGAGACCAGAGGGCCUGGACCGUGCUCAGGGCUGGUCUCCUAGGUUCUCUGCCCAGUGUCCAUGCUCCCUCUCCCUUGGUAACUAAUGCUAAUUUUGUUUGUAGCAGGAAUGUUACAAAUUCCUAAUGAGCCAGUGAGAAGCCUUGUGAAUUCGUCUUUGGGUAAAGCUAUUGUUUUUCUGAUAAAAAAGCACAGGAUUGGGAGUAGAAAUUUUGAUCUUGAAAGUGAAAGUCCCACGCUAAGGAUGGCAAAGCAGAAAGACUCAAGGAGUCGGGACUUCUCUGACGCCGCAGACGUGCUGCGCCAGUUCUCCACUUGGUCCUACUGUUUGGUGAGAAGAAAUCGCCCCCAUCGGCCGAGGCUGGUGUAUCAGAGCUUUGUCCGGUGCGGCCGAAAGCAAUCCGAACGGCUGACAGCAUCUCGCCCGUCAGGUGGAAGCUCGGCUCUGCCACUCGCUUGCAGUGGAGCUUUAAGGAAUGGCACUUAAACUCUCCGAGCCUCAGUUUCCCCAUUUCUAAAAUGAGGACAAUAACACCUUCCCUGCAGGAGUCCUGAGAGAAUUCCAGGGGCUUCUGUAAGCCCAGGAUGCAUCACGGGUCACUGCUGCUGUUGACAGCCCCUGGCUCUGCCCCUGUUGGGGAGGGGGAGCCGUGUGGUUUGACAGGAUGGGUAAGCACGGAAGGAGUGUUUGGAGGGGAAAGAGUUCUCUCAGAGGUCAUGAACAGGCCAAGAGAGAUGGAAAACCUCAGAGGACAGAGGAGCCAGUCCAGGAAGCCAAACCCAAAGAUGCAAACUUGCCUGAAGCCCAGGCCGGCUCUGCUAAGUGUCUCAGGUGGGGCCUGUGCAGGGGUGGGCCGGGUAUGCACGUGCAGCGUUUGAGGGGCUGCAGCUGGUGAGGAGUAAGCGCCCGGGGCUGCAGGUAGGUUCUCCCACUUAGGUCAUGAGUGUGAUGAAAGAAAUAGUGUGUGUGUGUGUGUGUGUGUGUGCGUGCACGUGCGUGUGUGCGUGCAUGCAUGUCAGUGUGUGCCGGCCCUGGGGCACUGGUAGGUCAGCCAGUAAUCUUUUAAAAAUGGAAAUCUAAUUUUUCACUUCCCUGUUUUAAAAACCCUUCACUGCUCCUAGGCAUGUAUCCAAGAGGAGGGUUGGGAGUGACAGCUGAGGGGUGCGGGGUUUCUUUUGGGGAGUAAUGGAAAGGUUCCAAAAUGAUUGUGGUGAUGGAUGCAGAACUUGGUGAAUGUACAACAAGCGGUUGAACUGUACACUUUGAAU
RNAcentral lists this long non-coding RNA (4801 nucleotides) under Equus caballus (horse). RNAcentral's name for it is "lncRNA (ENSECAG00000051013.1)". Lineage: Eukaryota; Metazoa; Chordata; Mammalia; Perissodactyla; Equidae. The record is from RNAcentral.